CCCGAAGGAAUGGAUUUCUCAUGAAACUAUGAGCGUCCUCUGCUGAGCAGUUUCGGGCCGCGAACGCAAGCUUUUCUCCAGACACAGAAUGCCUUCUUUUAGGUCCAAUCCACCUCGCCCGAAGUGGUGGGUGAGGCAAGCCCUGAAUAUUUCUCAACGGUUCAGUGCUCGCUCCGAUCACCAUUGGAUGAACCAUUCAUUGGAUGGAGGAUGGCCCAGCACGGUUGUAGUUCAUAGCUAUUCUAUAUUACGC
RNAcentral lists this long non-coding RNA (253 nucleotides) under Amborella trichopoda. RNAcentral's name for it is "long non-coding RNA (ATRI_LNC004782)". The record is from RNAcentral. Lineage: Eukaryota; Viridiplantae; Streptophyta; Magnoliopsida; Amborellales; Amborellaceae.